AGGACGAACGCUGGCGGCGUGCCUAAUACAUGCAAGUCGAACGGUCUUUCUAUGGAAGCUUGCUUCCACUGAGAAGAUAGUGGCGAACGGGUGAGUAACACGUGGGUAACCUGCCCAUAAGAGGGGGAUAACAUCCGGAAACGGGUGCUAAUACCGCAUAGUUUUCUUGAUCGCAUGAUCGGGAAAGGAAAGACGGCCUUUGUGCUGUCGCUUAUGGAUGGACCCGCGGCGUAUUAGUUAGUUGGUGAGGUAACGGCUCACCAAGACGAUGAUACGUAGCCGACCUGAGAGGGUGAUCGGCCACAUUGGGACUGAGACACGGCCCAAACUCCUACGGGAGGCAGCAGUAGGGAAUCUUCCGCAAUGGACGAAAGUCUGACGGAGCAACGCCGCGUGAGUGAAAGAAGGUUUUUCGGAUCGUAAAACUCUGUUGUCAGAGAAGAACAAGUUGGAGAGUAACUGCUCCAGCCUUGACGGUAUCUGACCAGAAAGCCACGGCUAACUACGUGCCAGCCGCCGC
This 520-nucleotide ribosomal RNA is filed under the name uncultured bacterium. RNAcentral's name for it is "bacterial SSU rRNA". It matches the Rfam family "Bacterial small subunit ribosomal RNA", at positions 26 to 518 of the family's 1533-position model. The record is from RNAcentral.